This 120-nucleotide ribosomal RNA is filed under the name Candidatus Thorarchaeota archaeon. Lineage: Archaea; Promethearchaeati; Candidatus Thorarchaeota. The record is from RNAcentral.
GAUGGCGGCCAUAGACUCCAGGGAGAUACCUGAUCUCAGCCGAACUCAGCAGUCAAGGCUGGAGUCGUUUAUGUAGAUGUGCGGUGCGCGAGCCCGUGACAGGACAUAAAGCUGCCACAU